Molecule: non-coding RNA, 3171 nt
Organism: Macaca mulatta (Rhesus monkey)
Lineage: Eukaryota; Metazoa; Chordata; Mammalia; Primates; Cercopithecidae
Source: RefSeq, a predicted model, not a curated record
AGUGAUCUGACCGCCUUGGCCUCUCAAAGUGCUGGGAUUACAGGCGUGACCCACUGCACCCGGCCGAUAGUAAGUUUAACAGCUGGAAUUCCAACUUUGUGAAGCACUGAUAAGAACUGGAAAAAAAAAUUCAGAUGAGUAACUUAAACACAUAUAAUAUUCAAAUCCCCAUUGAAGUGUAUUAACUAGACAUUAAUAAAUUUCAUUAAAUAAAUUCCAGUAGAUCUAAACAUAUUGCAAUUACAUGCACUGAUAUAUUUUUGGAAACUGAACAUUUUAAUAGCCUUGUUGAAAUAUAAUUAAUAAACUGUACAUGCCAGUCAGUAUAGUCUCAGUGCUGUGCAACGACAACCAUAAGGUAAAUUUUAGAACAUUUUUACUCUGAAAGGAACCCCACACCCGUCAGCAGCCACUCUAUUGCCCACCAUCUCCCUCCACCAGUUCCUGGCCACCACCAAUCUACUUGAUGUCCCCAUGGGUUUGCCUGUUCUAAAACUUUCGUAUAAAUAGAAUUACAGAACAUGUGGUCUUUUAAAAAUUCCCUCAAACUCUGUAUUUUCCCCAAAGCAUGUAUUUAACCGAAUUUAUGAAAUUUUUGCAAUAAUUUUAAAGGAAAGUUUUGAGUUACUUAUUUUCAGAAAUGGUAAUAUAUAGUAUUUUUUAAAAAAUUCUACACAGAGACAAACUCUUUGAAAAGCUCAGCUGUUGGAAGUGAAGAUGCUUUGUCUAAAUGGAGAAAUAAAAUUAGGAUGGAGAGACGCUAAUUUAACUAGAUUUUUGAGACGCUAAAUUUUGUGAUGGGAAAAAUGCAAGACAUUUAUUAGAGAAUCCAUUCCUGAUCCUGCAUAAAAGGGCACACACUUUGGCCACAGAGUAUUUUGAAGGGGGAUACAUGAUAAUAUUAAGUAUAUAUAUGGGGCCAGAAUUGUAUUUUUAAUAGACAAGUUAAAAUACCCAAAUCCACACAAGGCCUAAGAAUGACAGCUUUGUGAAGAGCAAGCAAGGCCUCCAGGAAAAGGACAGGGAGGGAAAAUGGGAAGCGGAUGGAGGCUGGGCUGAGGCCCUGGUCUCCGCUCUUCCCUCCUCCCCACCAGCCCGUUUCUCUUUUCCAUCUUUUUCUACCCUCUAUGACAAAUGAGAGUGUAUCAAAUUCACCUCCAAAUGGGCUAAUGUACUUUCCAGGUCUCCUUUCACUUGGUUUAAAUAUAGGAACAGAGGAGUGUGGAAAGGCACUGGCCCCAGCAAAGCGGGUUGGCUUUGUCCCUGGGUUCACUCUUGCAUACUGGACAGGUCGCUUCAGGCCUCGGAUUCCUCAUUUGUGAAGCACAGCCAAAAACUCAAGGCUCCCCACCUUGCUGUGGUGGUGAAUCAGCGGGGUAAAUGCUUAGCCGGGGACUGGCUUGCUGUACCCUCCACAAUGACCACUUGAAGUGGAUCCCAGAGGCUCUUUACUUUGCCAUAAAGACAGUUUAAGGAAAUGAGACUUUUAAAUAACUUGUCUGCAACUUCUACAAGAGAUGGUAAGUGCAUAUGGUGUCUUUCUAAGCUACUUUCAGAUGAACCAUAAAUCUCAGUGCAUUCUCCUGCAUUGGAGGGAGAGGCUGCUAAUGCAAGCUCAGCCCUCCUGUGCAGCUCGUAAUGAGGCAGGCCCCUUAGUCUCCUCUGCUCCCCAAGACCAACCCCAUAGCUGGGCAGUUGUUGCAAUGUGACACACUUGGGCACGUAUCUGAGACGUCAUUUUGAAAAUGAAGAACCGAUAUUUUUCUUACUUAUAAAAGCAGUCCUACUUCUCAAAGGAGACGCCUGUCCUGGAGGACCUGCGACAAGGUAGAGAAGAGGUUUUCUCCCUUCAUGCCUUCACGGAGAGGCUCAUGUUGCUAGACAUGGCGACGUCUGUCAGGAAAUGUCGUGUCCUCAGCCCUUCACGUAGGCAGGUUUGAUUCAGCAUCCUCGGGGCACUUCCUGUUCCCGCCCACAUGUGCUCGCGCAUGCGUGGUGGAGCUGGCCUUUUCAACAUCCGCCAUCUAACCGGUAGGUAGCAGGGUUAUUGAUAUCGCAUGUAUUUAAUGUGUUUAAUUUUCAUCCAUAUAUCUUCUUGGCUGAUCUGUCUUUUCAACUAUUUUGCCCAUUUUAAAUUGUUUUUUCCUGUUAUUGACUUUUAAGUCCUUUUAGAUGUGAAGUACAAGCCAUUUUUUCAGAUAUAUGGUUUGCAAAUGUUUUCUCCAGAUCUUAUAUUUUUUAUUCUCUUAACAGUUAGUGUCUUCUGACUGGUAUAUGUGCUUCAUUUUGAAUAUGUCCAAUUUAUCAGUUUCUUUUCUUUUAUGGAUUGUACUUUUGCUGUCAAAUUUAAAAUAUCUUUGCCUAACUCAAGGUAGCACAGAUUUUUUUCCUAUGAUUUCUACCAUAAUUUCUACUUUUGUAUUCUACGUUAUGUUUAUAAUCUAUUUUGGUUCCAUUUUUACGUAAUAUGAGAUGUAGAUAAAAGUUAAUUUUUUUGCGUAAGAUACUCAAUUGUUCUAGCACCAUUUGUUGAAAGGCUAUUGUUUUUCCUCCAUGGAAUUAUCUCUGCAUCUUUGUUGAAACGAACACACCACAGAUGUGUCGGCCUAUCUCUGGGUGUGGAUGCAGCUCAGGUGAUCUAUUUCUACGUCCUUAUGGUAACUCCUUACUCUCAGGUCACCACAGCUGCUGCUGUGCAGAAGAGAUAAGCUGAGGACCAACCCCAACACCGGAUGGCUGGUGGCCACAGAGAUGGACUCAGCACAAAACUGCUUAGCCCUGUGCUGGGUGGAAGCCAACACCUGCAGCUGGAGGCUGGGUUCACUGUGGACUGAGUGAGAGGUGAAGCUGCCUGGGCUUCUGGGUUGGGUGGGGACUUGGAAAACUUUUCUGUCUAGCUAAAGGAUUGUAAAUGCACCAACCAGUGCUCUGUGUCUAGCUAAAGGUUUGUAAAUGUACCAAUCAGUGCUCUGUAAAAUGGACCAAUCAGCUCUCUGUAAAAUGAACCAAUCAGCUCUCUGUAAAAUGGACCAAUCAGCAGGAUGUGGGUGGGGCCAAAUAAGGGAAUAAAAGCAGGCCACGCAAGACAGUGUUGGCGUCCCGCUCAGGUUCUCUUUCUCAGUGUGGGAGCUUUGUUCUUUUGCUCUUUGUAAUAAAUCUUAUUGCUGCUCA